UACGUAGGGUGCGAGCGUUAAUCGGAAUUACUGGGCGUAAAGCGUGCGCAGGCGGUUUUGUAAGCCAGAUGUGAAAGCCCCGGGCUUAACCUGGGAAUGGCAUUUGGGACUGCAAGGCUUGAGUGCGGCAGAGGAGACUGGAAUUCCUGGUGUAGCAGUGAAAUGCGUAGAUAUCAGGAGGAAUACCGAUGGCGAAGGCAGGUCUCUGGGCUGACACUGACGCUCAUGCACGAAAGUGUGGGGAUCAAACAGG
RNAcentral lists this ribosomal RNA (253 nucleotides) under uncultured bacterium. RNAcentral's name for it is "partial 16S ribosomal RNA". It matches the Rfam family "Bacterial small subunit ribosomal RNA", at positions 524 to 776 of the family's 1533-position model. The record is from RNAcentral.